RNAcentral lists this unclassified non-coding RNA (1771 nucleotides) under Leishmania donovani. Its description in RNAcentral is "gene:LdHU3.23.0720(CDS-product:hypothetical_prote in_conserved)". The record is from RNAcentral. Lineage: Eukaryota; Euglenozoa; Kinetoplastea; Trypanosomatida; Trypanosomatidae.
UACACACGCGCCCACUCGCGUGUAGUGGCCAACGCAGCCCCGUACAGAAUCACGCAAGCGCACUUAGCCACUGCCGUCGCUCGAGGUGCCCUUUCCGCCCCCUCCCCUCUUGUGUGUGGAGGCAAAGCGACCAUGGUGUGCCGCACGCGCUCGCCUUGGGUCGACACGCACAAGCUCCCCAAGCUUGCGCCACUUUCCUCGCCGCCAUGUCGUGGGAGCCUGACAAAAAGCACCGCAGUCAAUGGAGUCUUACCGCCGACCCGCGGAUGCUGAGCUCAGCGGCAGCGGUGACACAGUCGUCGUACCUGCACGCGCUCGGUGCCACACAGGAACUGCAGCCGGAGUCGCAGCAUCUGCCGAAAGCUCGUAACACGGUCGCCUCUGGCGCAUCAAUCAACCCAGCCAUGGCGGCUGUGGCGCAGCAGAAAGCUCGGUACGCGCGUUGCCCGUAUGUCCCUCCACCUGCCUUGCGCCGUAGUCGCCUCCAUCUGGGCCCCACGGCGGGCACCAGCGGCGCGCUUGGCGGAACAAAGCACAUCGACGAGGGUCGUCGCGCCCUCACGCAGCCUGCAACGUGGUCUCUGCCGUUGCAGUCUGAUUCCGCACAGCGCCGAGUGCCUGCAGGCGCGGGGCCCACGCCGCGUUCGGCGGUCAAUGGGGAUACCACAUUUCACCCCCUUCCGCCACUGCGGCCGUCACUCCAUCCAAUCCCUCCGCCACCGACUGAGUGGUGUCAGGCCCUCGUUGCGCUUCAAGAGCGUCAGCUGCUCUGCUGGCAGCAACUUAUAGAAGCCCAGCAGCUGAUGACUCACCACGUUGGGCGGCUGCAGGAAGAGUUGCAGUAUGUGCGCGAAGUCCUGAAGCACGGACUUGGCAAGCACUCCACGACGGAGGCGGUCAUCGCGAGCGCAGCAGAUCCACGCAAGCGCUCCCGCUCGGAAGGCCACGACAGUUUCAAAGCUGCAACAGUGACCAAAUCUGCAGCAGCAGUGCCGACUGCCAGCGCCGCAACCUCGCAGCGGAACAUGUCAGUGCACGUGGUUCGUUUGCUAGGAGAGAGCACCACCUCUACGUCUGCAGUCGUGCAGGACGCGGUAGUCUGUCGAGAUGUCGCCCGGCCGGCAGAAGUCGCGCAAAGGCUCCCUUCGAGACCAUCCGCAGAGCCGAAGGAGGGCAAUGGCGGUGGCGGCGGUGCUGCACACUCACAAGGCACCGCUGACGCUGCCGACAGCGAGGCAGACAUCUUCAUGCUCUGACAAGGGCUGCCCACCCUCACAAGAGACAUACACGGGUGAUGUUCACGCACUUCCACACACUGGCCUUAACGCGUCACGGAAACGGUGUUGUGUGUGUGUGUGUGUACGUGCGUGUGCGACAUGAUACACCUCUCUGCUACCCCAACAGCCGCUCAUAAUGAAGAGCAAGCACAGACACGCAGACAGAGAAACUACUGCCCUCGCUGUCUCGCUACAGAGGCGCACGCGCGUUGGUCAGACGGCAUUACAUGACCUGGCGCUGCCUAAGCAUGGGCGGAGAAGCGUAUCACGUUGCUUCCGGAUCUUCCAUGCGCCGAGCAUAUGACCCUUUCGCUGCCUUUGCCGUACUGCGCGGCUUUGCGUGGUCUCUCUUCAUGUGCGUGUGUGUGUGUGUGUCACCGUGCCGCACACGCAUAUAUCGAAGUUACAAGGUCGCUCCUACGCUCUUUUUGGCACGCCCCCGCCCAACUUCGCCCACACAACCCUCUGCCCCACGUGCGCACACAUGCACGCAG